CAAUGAUUUUUUAAAUUGCUGUGGUAUUUUGACUAUACGAAGGUAUUGAAAUAAGGCUUUAAAUGGGUGCUAAGAGAAUGGUUUAACAAUUAUUUUCUUUCUUUAAGUAAAAAAUAGAAUUUUAUUUUUUUGUGAAGAAUCAAAAAUAAAUAUUAGGGACAAGAAGACCCUAUGAAUUUUUAUCAAGUAUAUUAUUAUAAAAAUAAUUUACUUGAUUUGGUUGGGGUGACAAAUAAAGAUUAGGUAUCUUUGUUUAUGAGAAAAAUGAUGUUCCAUUAAUAUUGAUUAUAAAAGUAAAAUACUCUAGGGAUAACAGCGUAAUAAUUUUAGAUAGUUCAUAUAGAAAAAAUAGUUUGCGACCUCGAUGUUGGAUUAGGAUUCUUUUUUAAUGCAGAAGUAAAAAAAGAAGUUUGU
This 414-nucleotide ribosomal RNA is filed under the name Ixodes longiscutatus. RNAcentral's name for it is "partial 16S ribosomal RNA". The record is from RNAcentral. Lineage: Eukaryota; Metazoa; Arthropoda; Arachnida; Ixodida; Ixodidae.